Molecule: ribosomal RNA, 345 nt
Filed under: Pseudomonas batumici
Lineage: Bacteria; Pseudomonadati; Pseudomonadota; Gammaproteobacteria; Pseudomonadales; Pseudomonadaceae
Description: bacterial SSU rRNA
Rfam family: Bacterial small subunit ribosomal RNA
Source: RNAcentral
AGUGGGGGACAACGUUUCGAAAGGAACGCUAAUACCGCAUACGUCCUACGGGAGAAAGCAGGGGACCUUCGGGCCUUGCGCUAUCAGAUGAGCCUAGGUCGGAUUAGCUAGUUGGUGAGGUAAUGGCUCACCAAGGCGACGAUCCGUAACUGGUCUGAGAGGAUGAUCAGUCACACUGGAACUGAGACACGGUCCAGACUCCUACGGGAGGCAGCAGUGGGGAAUAUUGGACAAUGGGCGAAAGCCUGAUCCAGCCAUGCCGCGUGUGUGAAGAAGGUCUUCGGAUUGUAAAGCACUUUAAGUUGGGAGGAAGGGUUGUACGCUAAUACCGUGCAAUUUUGACGU